Molecule: ribosomal RNA, 301 nt
Filed under: uncultured bacterium
Lineage: Bacteria
Description: partial 16S ribosomal RNA
Rfam family: Bacterial small subunit ribosomal RNA
Source: RNAcentral
CAGUAGCCGCGGUAAUACGAAGGGUGCAAGCGUUAAUCGGAAUUACUGGGCGUAAAGCGUGCGUAGGCGGUGAGUUAAGUCUGCUGUGAAAUCCCCGGGCUCAACCUGGGAAUGGCAGUGGAUACUGGCUCGCUAGAGUGUGUCAGAGGAUGGUGGAAUUCCCGGUGUAGCGGUGAAAUGCGUAGAGAUCGGGAGGAACAUCAGUGGCGAAGGCGGCCAUCUGGGACAACACUGACGCUGAGGCACGAAAGCGUGGGGAGCAAACAGGAUUAGAGACCCCCGUAGUCCCUGUCUCUUAUAC